UCAAUCUUUUUUCUUCCUACUCCUGGGCUUUCCUGUUUUCUUCCAGCUCUGCAAGGAGGCUACCUGCCCUGUUCACCAUAAGAAAAUGCCUUAUGGAUCUAUCACCAGUGGAGGUAACCUGAAGAGCUAUAGCCUUUUUUGAGGACCCUUAAGACAAGGCUUUCAACCUGUAGGUGGGCUGCAAAGGCUGUGUGGGGGCUGUCCAUGGAGACCACAGGACUGGGAAAGACCUUACAGGCAGGACAUUGAAGAAGGACAGAUGCCCACAGGAGCAAGAGCAAGAAACAAAUAGAGAUGUGGAUGGAGAUGUUCACACCGUGACUUAAGAGAGAGGCAUUUCGGAAAUACUGUAAAUAUCCAGCUGGAGGGAUACAAUUGGGGUUUCUCAAGUGCUCAGCAGCACCGGAAUGGCCUAGAGUGGAGCAGGGAUCACAGCUGUUGAUCAAGCUAUGCCUCCUGUCAGUGCAGCCCAGAGGGCAGUUGCUGAAGCAAGCGCAGCAGUGGUGGGAAGAUGCUGGAGCCAUUUCUUCAGGUCACCCUUGGGGAGGAGCGUCUUCAGCUGGACCACCUGAAAACCCAGCUCUUGAAUGCCAUUUGGUGGUGCACAGGCUUUAAGCUAAAUCCUUGAAGGCCAACCACAAAGGAGCUCUUGGAUCCCAAGUCUUAUGUGAGUAACUUCUGAAUGUAUAAAACCAUGCAAAUUCCAAAGACCCCAGGGAUUGUGGGAGGUGAUGAAUAGUAUGUGGGCUGGAUAUUAUGCCUCAGCGGGUGUGCAGAGCUGAGUGCAUGGUGGGAACCCCCACCUAGUGGGGCCAGUGUUCCCAUGCAGUAUCCCUUCUCUUCUUGUUUUCUCCUCCCCAGAAUCGUC
RNAcentral lists this long non-coding RNA (868 nucleotides) under Fukomys damarensis (Damara mole-rat). RNAcentral describes it as "lncRNA (ENSFDAG00000030617.1)". The record is from RNAcentral. Lineage: Eukaryota; Metazoa; Chordata; Mammalia; Rodentia; Bathyergidae.